Molecule: ribosomal RNA, 254 nt
Filed under: uncultured bacterium
Lineage: Bacteria
Description: partial 16S ribosomal RNA
Rfam family: Bacterial small subunit ribosomal RNA
Source: RNAcentral
UACGGAGGGGGCAAGCGUUAUUCGGAUUUACUGGGCGUAAAGGGUGCGUAGGCGGUCGCGCAAGUCUGAUGUGAAAUCUUCACCACUCAACGGGAAGAGGUCAUUGGAAACUGCGCGACUUGAGUUUGGUAGAGGCUAGCGGAAUUCCUGGUGUAGCGGUGGAAUGUGUAGAUAUCAGGAAGAACACCUGUGGCGAAGGCGGCUAGCUGGGCCAAUACUGACGCUGAGGCACGAAAGCGUGGGGAGCAAACGGG